UAGAUGCGAGAGUAGAGCAUAUCAAUAAGCGGAGGAAAAGAAACUAACAAGGAUUCCCUUAGUAACGGCGAGUGAAGCGGGAAGAGCUCAAAUUUGAAAUCUUCAAGGUUCUACCUUGACGAAUUGUAGUUUAAAGAAGUGUUUUCUGUUAGAUGAGUAGCAAAAGUUCCUUGGAAUGGGACAUCAUAGAGGGUGAGAAUCCCGUAUUUGGUUAUUCAUUCUAGCUUUGUGAUACACUUUCAAAGAGUCGGAUUGUUUGGGAAUGCAGGUCCGAAAUGGGUGGUAAAUUUCAUCUAAAGCUAAAUAUUGGCGAGAGACCGAUAGCGAACAAGUACCGUGAGGGAAAGAUGAAAAGAACUUUGAAAAGAGAGUUAAACAGUACGUGAAAUUGUCAAAAGGGAAGCGUUUGACACCAGUGUUGUUUUUCCGAAAAUCAAUUACGAAUGGCUUGAUUUUGUGUUGUAUUGACCUUAUCAGCUUUCUGCACUUUUUUCGAGUCUUUCUUAAUGCACUUUCGGUUAACAAGUCAACAUCAAUUUCUUUUGUUGUAAAAGAGUAUUCGGAAGGUGGCUUUCUUUUCGGAGAAGGUGUUUAUAGCCCUAUACUUCUACAAUCGGAGAGAUUGAGGUCUGCAGCGUAGAUCCUUCGGGGUUAGAUACACUUGUGCUAAGUUGUAGCUUUUCAUAGACAACUUGUUGACUAUGUUUAGUCAUGCGGCUUACUCGCUUAUGCUAUUUUACCUACGCUUAGGAUGUUGAGCGCAUGUCUCUCUCU
RNAcentral lists this ribosomal RNA (774 nucleotides) under uncultured Neocallimastigales. Its description in RNAcentral is "partial large subunit ribosomal RNA". It matches the Rfam family "Eukaryotic large subunit ribosomal RNA", at positions 22 to 616 of the family's 3401-position model. Lineage: Eukaryota; Fungi; Neocallimastigomycota; Neocallimastigomycetes; Neocallimastigales. The record is from RNAcentral.